ACGGUAAUUAGAAAUCUUAAAAACAUACUGGAUGAUGUAAAGCAUCUGUAUUUUCCCCUCAUCACAGACUCAGGAGAUGAAGACGCACAAGCUUGUGCAGCAGAUGAUCCAGGACACAAUGAAGAUAGAUCAAGAAAUCAAACACUCAGCAAUAAAAAUGAGCAAAAAAAAUGAAGAGAAAGAGAAAGCAGGCAACAUUGAGCUCUGUGCUGAUCUGAAUUACUCCAUUGAGAAAUGUCAGAUGACACUUUUUGAGCACUGGGCGAAGACCAGGAUGUAAUUUGUCAUUUCUGCUUUCAUCCUCUUGUAUCUAUAGGAUGUUGCCUUUGCCUGUUAAUAUAUUUAGAAAAAUUCAAAUGAUAUAACAAUUUAAUCACAAGUCACAGUUUGGGUCUAUCACUGUUUAGUAUCAUAAUCCUAUUGAAGUCAUGUUAAAAAUCUUUCUGCAAAUAUGAUAUAGCUUCUAGUAGGAACUCAUGGUACUGGCAACACCCCCCUUUUCUGUCGUUGUUGUUUUUUAUCAUCUGUUUACUAGUUGAUGUCAUUUAUAUUUACGCGUUAUAUGUGACCCUAGACCACAAAACCAGUCAUAAGGGUCAACUGUUUGAAAUUGAGAUUUAUACAUCAUUUGAAAGAUGAAUAAAUUAGCUUGUUAGGGUGGGACAAUAUUUGGCCGAGAUGCAACUAUUUGAAAAUCUGGAAUCUGAAGGUGCAAAAAAAUUUAAAUAUUGAGAAAAUUGCCUUUAAAGUUGUCCAAGUGAACUCCUUAGCAAUGCAUUUUACUAAUCAAAAAUUAAGUUUUGAUAUAUUUACAAUAGGAAAUUUACAAAAUAUCUUCACAGAACGUGAUCUUUACUUAAUGUCCUAAUGAUUUUGGCAUAAAAGAAAAAUCAAUAAUAAUCACCCAUACAAUGUAUUUUUGGCUAUUGCUACAAAUAUACCCCAGCGACUUGAGACUGGUUUUGUGAUCCAGGGUCACAUAUUACCAUUGUACUGAC
This 998-nucleotide long non-coding RNA is filed under the name Sinocyclocheilus grahami. RNAcentral describes it as "lncRNA (ENSSGRG00000047075.1)". Lineage: Eukaryota; Metazoa; Chordata; Actinopteri; Cypriniformes; Cyprinidae. The record is from RNAcentral.